This 415-nucleotide ribosomal RNA is filed under the name uncultured soil bacterium. RNAcentral describes it as "bacterial SSU rRNA". It matches the Rfam family "Bacterial small subunit ribosomal RNA", at positions 258 to 688 of the family's 1533-position model. The record is from RNAcentral.
UAACGGCUCACCAAGGCGACGAUCAGUAGCUGGUCUGAGAGGAUGAUCAUCCUCACUGGGGCUGCGCCACGGCCCAGACUCCUACGGGGGGCAGCAGUGAGGAAUUUUCCGCAGUGGACGAAAGUCUGACGGAGCAACGCCGCGUGCAGGAGGACGCUUUUCGUAGUGUAAACUGUUUUUCUGUGGGAAGAGCGACGACGGUACCACAGGAAGAAGCCCCGGCUAACUUCCUGCCAGCCGCCGCGGUAAUACGAGGGGGGCAAGCGUUGUUCGGAAUUAUUGGGCGUAAAGGGCGCGUAGGCGGUUUGGCAAGUCUGUAUGUGAAAUCUUCCUGCUCAACCCCGAAUCCUGCAUGAGAAACUGCCGUGCUUGAGUAUGGGAGAGGUGAGUAGAAUUCCGGUGUAGCGGUGAAAUG